AAGGAUCAUUAAUGAAUUACAAGUCGGCCGUCUGUGCUGGUGGCAACACAUGUGCACGUCGGUCGCAAAUCCACACACCUGUGCACCUUUGACUUUGGGAUCCGCCGGUCUUUUGACUCGCAGCAGGUCGGCUCUGUGCCGUCCUGGAUCUCAGAGUAAUUUUACACACUCUUGAAUGUAAUGGAAUGUCUCUGUGCAUAACGCGCAAAUAUACAACUUUCAACAACGGAUCUCUUGGCUCUC
RNAcentral lists this unclassified non-coding RNA (243 nucleotides) under uncultured fungus. RNAcentral describes it as "partial contains 18S rRNA, ITS1, 5.8S rRNA, ITS2 and 28S rRNA". The record is from RNAcentral. Lineage: Eukaryota; Fungi.